This 484-nucleotide ribosomal RNA is filed under the name uncultured bacterium. RNAcentral's name for it is "partial 16S ribosomal RNA". It matches the Rfam family "Bacterial small subunit ribosomal RNA", at positions 30 to 507 of the family's 1533-position model. The record is from RNAcentral.
AUUGAACGCUGGCGGCAGGCCUAACACAUGCAAGUCGAGCGGAUGAAGGGAGCUUGCUCCUGGAUUCAGCGGCGGACGGGUGAGUAAUGCCUAGGAAUCUGCCUGGUAGUGGGGUAUCACGUCCGUAAACGGGCGCUAAUACCGCAUACGUCCUGAGGGAGAAAGUGGGGGAUCUUCGGACCUCACGCUAUCAGAUGAGCCUAGGUCGGAUUAGCUAGUUGGUGGGGUAAAGGCCUACCAAGGCGACGAUCCGUAACUGGUCUGAGAGGAUGAUCAGUCACACUGGAACUGAGACACGGUCCAGACUCCUACGGGAGGCAGCAGUGGGGAAUAUUGGACAAUGGGCGAAAGCCUGAUCCAGCCAUGCCGCGUGUGUGAAGAAGGUCUUCGGAUUGUAAAGCACUUUAAGUUGGGAGGAAGGGCAGUAAGUUAAUACCUUGCUGUUUUGACGUUACCAACAGAAUAAGCACCGGCUAACUUCGUG